AACUCCGCAGGUAAGCGUGCUUGGGCGAAAGUAGUACUAGGAUGGGUGACCUCCUGGGAAGUACUCGUGUUGCACCCC
RNAcentral lists this ribosomal RNA (78 nucleotides) under Arabis alpina (gray rockcress). The record is from RNAcentral. Lineage: Eukaryota; Viridiplantae; Streptophyta; Magnoliopsida; Brassicales; Brassicaceae.